AGGAACAAGGAGGUUACUGGGUGGAUGGGGUUUCUCCCGUGGUGUAUGAAAUCACCCAAAUGAUGGCAAGAUGAGAGAUCCUGGAGCAGGCCCCCAAACCCAUAAAGAAUGAGGCCAAGAAACCAGCAGGUGGUGGAGACAGUGACAAAGAGGGAAAAGGACGACCGAGAUGAAGGAGAGUUUGGAUUUGGAGCAUCGCUCGCGUCCUACAAGUCGCCAAGACAGGAGUGAUCCCAGCUCCCCUCCUGGCUCUGUGGGGCCGAGGUCUUGAGGACCGGGAGGAUGCGGCCAAUGGCGCAGCAGAGCUGGCCUUUGAAGAUCCAGAGUCUGACUUUGCAUCCCAUCCCAGCCGCGCACCAAAGCCGCUGAAGCCCCCCAGGCCCCGGGUUCUGCAUCUGUGGAACGGUCUCUGGUGCUGGAUCGUGGGCGCGCACCUAGGCCCCAGCUCUGCCACGAGCGCCCCGGAGGGUGACAGCUGAUGCCUGCGAAGCUCGCCUCUUCUCCCCCUGCCUUGUCUGUCGGGGUCUUCAGUCUGGGACUGAGAAGAGGUCACUCGUGCGGUCCCGCUGCCCCCAGCCCGGGCCUCCACCAGCUGGGCCCGGGGCCAGGCCCUCCCCACAGCCGCCUGCCGGCUUGCUCUGCCGGGGCGGACACCUGCAGGACCGGGCUGGGAAUGUCUCCAGCCACCGACAGGCCCAGUGUCAGUUUCAGGCCCUUCUGGGGUGGGAGGAGGCCCAGGGAGGGGCUGCCAAAGUCAACAUGCCUGUGUCCCUGGGCAGGGACUGGUUUGGCACCUGUGGGCCUGGUUCCAGCCCACAAGCCCGGCCUUGGCCUCUCCUGGGUCACCUAGAGUUCCUGUCCCCCAGCCCUCUGCCUCCUUCGGGUAGCCGGGCCAUUGCUGGGCAGGGCCACUUCCCAUCCCGAGCCCUGGAGAGCUGAGGCCCUAAACCUACCCCUAAGACAGAGACCCCCUGCCCCACGCCUGUGAUCAGGUCACGCCAACACGGACUCUGCUCUCUCCCCGUCUGGCCAGCGCGAUGCUACCAGUCCAGGUAAAAGCCCUGCUCGUUCA
Long non-coding RNA from Mesoplodon densirostris (Blainville's beaked whale), 1072 nucleotides. RefSeq lists it as uncharacterized. Lineage: Eukaryota; Metazoa; Chordata; Mammalia; Artiodactyla; Ziphiidae. The record is from RefSeq and is a predicted model, not a curated record. The transcript is spliced from 3 exons.